RNAcentral lists this ribosomal RNA (250 nucleotides) under Entelexis sorbosivorans. Its description in RNAcentral is "Starmerella sorbosivorans partial large subunit ribosomal RNA". It matches the Rfam family "Eukaryotic large subunit ribosomal RNA", at positions 293 to 653 of the family's 3401-position model. Lineage: Eukaryota; Fungi; Ascomycota; Dipodascomycetes; Dipodascales; Trichomonascaceae. The record is from RNAcentral.
UGGGUGGUAUGCUCCAUCUAAAGCUAAAUAUUGGCGAGAGACCGAUAGCGAACAAGUACUGUGAAGGAAAGAUGAAAAGAACUUUGAAAAGAGAGUGAAAAAGUACGUGAAAUUGUUGAAAUGGAAGGCAAUGAGGUGCGAUUGAACCGGACGUUUGCGGGCAGGACAAAAGCGCAGGCCGCCUCGGCAUUGCCUGCGUGCAUACUGCCUCGCGGACUACCAGUUCUAACAACGCCUUAUUGCACCCGUC